UAACACGUAGGGGGCGAGCGUUGUCCGGAUUUAUUGGGCGUAAAGAGCUCGUAGGCGGCUCAGUAAGUCGGGUGUGAAACCUCCAGGCUCAACCUGGAGACGCCACCCGAUACUGCUGUGGCUAGAGUCCGGUAGAGGAGCGUGGAAUUCCUGGUGUAGCGGUGAAAUGCGCAGAUAUCAGGAGGAACACCAACGGCGAAGGCAGCGCUCUGGGCCGGUACUGACGCUGAGGAGCGAAAGCGUGGGUAGCAAACAGG
RNAcentral lists this ribosomal RNA (257 nucleotides) under uncultured bacterium. RNAcentral describes it as "partial 16S ribosomal RNA". It matches the Rfam family "Bacterial small subunit ribosomal RNA", at positions 521 to 776 of the family's 1533-position model. The record is from RNAcentral.